Molecule: long non-coding RNA, 1273 nt
Organism: Peromyscus maniculatus bairdii (prairie deer mouse)
Lineage: Eukaryota; Metazoa; Chordata; Mammalia; Rodentia; Cricetidae
Source: RefSeq, a predicted model, not a curated record
CGCCUUUCAGAGAGCCAAGGAAAGUUGUUCAGGAGGUCUCUGUUGUCUAACAGUGUCCUCGGAAACUGAAACAUUCCACCCUGCAAGGAAGCUCCAUAAACAGGAAGGUAAACUGCUCAAAAUAGCUCCAGGCAGUCCCUGAAACUGACAAGAUUCACCAGGUCCCUCCCUGUCAGAUUAAGUAAUAAAAGUGGAGAGUCCCACACAGACAAGACAAGAUGCAAGGAAGGCGCUGGAACCAGACCAUCUGCCUGAAAGAAGCAGAAACCAGCCGAGCUGCGUGAAACAGGAACUGGACGUGGCAGAUGUCACAAUGUCACAAUCCUAUAGGAAUUAGAGACCUCCUGCCACAAAGAAUCUGGAAGGGGUGGAGAACUGCAGGGUUCUGAAGUCACCAGAGGGCAAAGAGUGGAUCAGUAAACAGGAAGCAAAAAUAAAUACAGUGGAAGUUAAACAAGCCCCAUCAUUUACACAGUAGUGAACAGCGGACAAAGUAAAGCCGAAGAAAACGAGCAAGCCGCGUCUCCACCAAACACGCCAACAAAUGGAAACAAGGUCUGAGGGAGGAGAGAAGAAGUCUGCCUCCGAAUCAAAGAAAGAGAAACGGCUGAUAAUGGCGACCAGUUUGGCGAUUGCUGGGUACCAGAUGUUGAGGAAGCAACAUCUCAAUCAACAGGUUCACUAAGGUCCACAUGGUCAGAACCAUCCAAGGCCACUUUCAUCCUGGAGGAAACCAGAAGGUCUAAUGUAAAUGUGCUUCCAACAUUAAAAAGCAUUAAGAGAAAUUGACAUUUUCAAUAAAGGGGAAAUUACAAGAGGUGUCAGGACAAACACUGGAUGCUGGAUGAACUGCCAUGAGUACACAUGCUCUUCCUCCUCUUACCUCUCCUCUUCCUCCCUCCCCCACCCAGGUCUUCAUUCCUCUCUCCUGCACUAUAUCACGUGGACUUAGCACAGCAUCACAGGGACUUAAUGCAGCAUUCCAGCAGACGUUAGCUCAGCCAGUCUCUAUUUCUGGCUCUCUUUGUAAGCUGCUGCACAGCUCUGGCUUCUGUGAGACAAGAGGUUGAGCUAGUCCACUGAGUAUUUUUUGGUGUAUCUCUCAGGAUACAGGGUGAAAUCUCAAUGUGUUUUCUUUUAUCUUCUUUUUGUUUUGUAAAAUUCUGAACCAGUGGUAUCUGUUCCUCUGCCCUCUGAAACAACCUAUAAAUAUUGGCCAUCUGUCCUCUCACAAAAUGUUUUGUUCAGAAUCGUAAGGAUCACACCACUUAUU